RNAcentral lists this transfer RNA (72 nucleotides) under Ictidomys tridecemlineatus (thirteen-lined ground squirrel). Its description in RNAcentral is "Spermophilus tridecemlineatus (thirteen-lined ground squirrel) tRNA". It matches the Rfam family "tRNA". Rfam says of the family: Transfer RNA (tRNA) molecules are approximately 80 nucleotides in length. RNAcentral also lists the same sequence under 1 other name. Lineage: Eukaryota; Metazoa; Chordata; Mammalia; Rodentia; Sciuridae. The record is from Rfam by way of RNAcentral.
UGGUCUGUGGCUCAGUGGUAGAGCACUUGCCUUGCAUGCAUGAGGCCCUGGGUUUGAUCCUCAGCACCACAU